CCUACGGGUGGCAGCAGUGGGGAAUAUUGCACAAUGGGGGAAACCCUGAUGCAGCGACGCCGCGUGAGUGAAGAAGUAUUUCGGUAUGUAAAGCUCUAUCAGCAGGAACGAGACAAGACGGUACCUGACUAAGAAGCCCCGGCUAACUACGUGCCAGCAGCCGCGGUAAUACGUAGGGGGCAAGCGUUAUCCGGAAUCACUGGGUGUAAAGGGAGCGUAGACGGCAGGGCAAGUCUGGAGUGAAAGCCCGGGGCCCAACCCCGGGACUGCUUUGGAAACUGCCAUGCUAGAGUGCUGGAGAGGUAAGCGGAAUUCCUAGUGUAGCGGUGAAAUGCGUAGAUAUUAGGAGGAACACCAGUGGCGAAGGCGGCUUACUGGACAGUAACUGACGUUGAGGCUCGAAAGCGUGGGGAGCAAACAGGAUUAGAUACCCGGGUAGUC
This 441-nucleotide ribosomal RNA is filed under the name uncultured bacterium. RNAcentral describes it as "partial 16S ribosomal RNA". It matches the Rfam family "Bacterial small subunit ribosomal RNA", at positions 338 to 795 of the family's 1533-position model. The record is from RNAcentral.